This 404-nucleotide unclassified non-coding RNA is filed under the name soil metagenome. Its description in RNAcentral is "partial contains 5.8S ribosomal RNA, internal transcribed spacer 2, and large subunit ribosomal RNA". The stretch from base 1 to 122 matches the Rfam family "5.8S ribosomal RNA", at positions 35 to 154 of the family's 154-position model. The record is from RNAcentral.
GAUGAAGAACGCAGCAAAAUGCGAUACUUGGUGUGAAUUGCAGAAUCCCGUGAACCAUCGAGUUUUUGAACGCAAGUUGCGCCCGAAGCCUUUUGGCCGAGGGCACGUCUGCCUGGGCGUCACGCAUCGCGUCGCCCCCCACAAUUCUCCGUAAAGGGAACGUGUGUUUUGGGGGCGGAUAUUGGUCUCCCGUGCUCAUGGCGUGGUUGGCCGGAAUAGGAGUCCUUUCGAUGGACGCACGAACUAGUGGUGGUCGUAAAAACCCUCGUCUUUUGUUUCGUGCUGUUGCUCGCAAGGUAAACUCUUUAAAAACCCCAAUGUGUCGUCUCUUGACGACGCUUCGACCGCGACCCCAGGUCAGGCGGGACUACCCGCUGAGUUUAAGCAUAUCAAUAAGCGGAGGA